GACCAAAUGAAGAGUGAAGUUAGUUUAUCGAUGGUAUAAAUAUUGCAAACUUGAACUUUCCAAACUAUGGAUAAGAUAAGGUGUAAUAGGCAACUCAAUUGCAAUUAUCUUGGACUUCUUUUUACGUAAAGAACUUCUAUGUUUCAUUCAAUUAUGUAAGCAAGCACAAAAAUGUCUUGCCAAUGUUAACUUCAGCGGCUAGACAAGAAGGUCGGU
Molecule: long non-coding RNA, 216 nt
Filed under: Solanum tuberosum (potato)
Lineage: Eukaryota; Viridiplantae; Streptophyta; Magnoliopsida; Solanales; Solanaceae
Description: long non-coding RNA (STUB_LNC005918)
Source: RNAcentral